Molecule: long non-coding RNA, 1144 nt
Organism: Raphanus sativus (radish)
Lineage: Eukaryota; Viridiplantae; Streptophyta; Magnoliopsida; Brassicales; Brassicaceae
Exons: 3
Source: RefSeq, a predicted model, not a curated record
CAGUUUCCUUCUUCCACAAUUGAACUCGUCUUCUCCGUUUUCUCAUAAUCUGCACAGUUUCUUUCCUCAUCUCUUGACAUUCUGAAGUUUAAUGUAUUCUUAAAUUUCAGCAAUAACUGCUAUACACAUUAAAUCUAUAACGAUUUCGACCUCUUCGAUUCUUCGCCGCCAAAUCUAUAAAUAGGGGAUGCUUGAGAGGUGGAUGAACCUCCACAAUCAAAUCGUUUUUAUAACUUCUUAAAGUAUUUUCAGAAUUGCUCCUUUUGGUUUCGUUUAAAUGAAUUCUUUAGACCCUUAAAUCCAAUUGUAUCAUCUCUUUUUAGACACGAUUGGAAAGCAACUUUUAGUUUCAGACCAUUCCGUUUCAGUUCUCCGAUGAAAAAGAGAACUUAGAGCAUUGAUUCUCAGGACUGAAUCAGCUCCAGGAUGUCGUCAACGUUUAUACGAACAUCUAUCCAAGCAACGUACUGUCACAAUCAUGUUUGGAAGACAAUGAAGGUUUCGGAUGGAGUCCACACGCUGUCUAGGAUCCAUUUGGUGAUGCUUUCCAAUGGCUGGAGAUUUCGGAGAAACUAACGACAGAUUCGUCAAGUCAGGAGAAGCAGCGGUGGAUCAGGAGGAUAAGAUAGUUUUGCCUCCGAGGAAGAAGCAUGACAUGAGUCGGAGUUUGGAGAAGAAAAAGAGAAUGAGGAGAGGAAGGAGAAAGCUUUAAAGGAGUAUGUGAUUUUCUUGGUAAGUGGUUAAGUUCUAUAUUGAUUUGUUUGGUACGUGGUUGAUUUAAUAUGAUCAUGUUUGAUUUAAUAUAAUGAGUACAUGUAAUGAGUUCUCCAAGGAGCAGGAUUAUCAUGAUGCUUUGAAACAUCACACUGAAGCGAUAAAAACCAUCCAACAGACCUGAGAGUAAGGCCAACUAUAAUCAUCUUAUAUGUGCAUCACUGUUGUGUACAAAGGCUUCCAUAUUCAGUGGUGAUCAGCUUAGCUUCAUGUACCCUAGUAGGUUGAUAGAUUUAAGAGUCAUAUUGCUCAUCUUGAAGAAAAUCAAUGUAAACCAAAAGCAAACACAAGAGUUAGAAGUACCGCACUAACCCUGGCCAACAUAUUCUCUCUCUCUCUCAAAACCAUUGUGCCUCUAUGUAAAUGUGUG